GAAAGUGAUGCCCCAAAGUUUAGUUAUUGGUACAUGAAAAUAUUAUGAUUGGGAGUGGAAAAGUGCUACACGAAAAGUGAUGAAAUUGUAGUCAAACAUGUUAGAAUGAACCUGUUUUGGCCCUGGUCCUAUCUUGGACAUUGUGCACCUCGACUAAGGCAAAUAGCCUAAGCUGAGGGUGGCUAUCAUAGGGACGCGUAACAAGAAAUUAAUGCAAAAUAAAAAGAGUUGUAUACUCCCAUCAUAGUGUUUUUGAUUAAGCAAUAAAAUGGGGCGAAAAUAAAAGAGGUUGGUAGGUGAAAGGAAGGUAGAUUGGUUGUUAAAAGUUGG
This 330-nucleotide long non-coding RNA is filed under the name Capsicum annuum. RNAcentral's name for it is "long non-coding RNA (CANN_LNC004981)". The record is from RNAcentral. Lineage: Eukaryota; Viridiplantae; Streptophyta; Magnoliopsida; Solanales; Solanaceae.